UUUAAAGAGAGUUUGAUCCUGGCUCAGGACGAACGCUGGCGGCGUGCCUAAUACAUGCAAGUCGAACGAACGGAGGAAGAGCUUGCUCUUCCAAUGUUAGUGGCGGACGGGUGAGUAACACGUGGGCAACCUGCCUGUAAGUUGGGGAUAACUCCGGGAAACCGGGGCUAAUACCGAAUGAUAAA
RNAcentral lists this ribosomal RNA (185 nucleotides) under Listeria monocytogenes. RNAcentral's name for it is "partial 16S ribosomal RNA". It matches the Rfam family "Bacterial small subunit ribosomal RNA", at positions 1 to 180 of the family's 1533-position model. Lineage: Bacteria; Bacillati; Bacillota; Bacilli; Caryophanales; Listeriaceae. The record is from RNAcentral.